CCUACGGGGGGCUGCAGUGGGGAAUCUUGCACAAUGGGGGAAACCCUGAUGCAGCGACGCCGCGUGAGCGAUGAAGCCCUUCGGGGUGUAAAGCUCUUUCGGCAGGAACGAUUAUGACGGUACCUGCAGAAGAAGCUGCGGCUAACUACGUGCCAGCAGCCGCGGUAAUACGUAGGCAGCGAGCGUUGUUCGGAGUUACUGGGCGUAAAGAGUAUGUAGGCGGUUUCGUAAGUUUGGUGUGAAAUCUCCCGGCUUAACUGGGGGGGUGCGCCGAAAACUGCGAGGCUAGAGUGCGGGAGAGGAGAGCGGAAUUCCUGGUGUAGCGGUGAAAUGCGUAGAUAUCAGGAGGAACACCGGCGGUGUAGACGGCUCUCUGGACCGUUACUGACGCUGAGAUACGAAAGCGUGGGUAGCAAACAGGAUUAGAUACCCUAGUAGUC
Molecule: ribosomal RNA, 440 nt
Filed under: uncultured bacterium
Lineage: Bacteria
Description: partial 16S ribosomal RNA
Rfam family: Bacterial small subunit ribosomal RNA
Source: RNAcentral